UGACCUUUUUAUAACAUUCACUCAAAUAAAGUAUUUUAAAUCUGUUCUUAUCAGUUUAAUAUCUGAUACGUCCUCUAUCUGAGGACUAUAAAUUAAAUGGAUUUUGGGAAUAGGGAGAUGGAAUAGGAGCUUUUGCUGUUACAGCCUGACCUGAUCCUAUGUCAUACACUCCCCUACAUUUAAUUUCCUCCCAUU
This 195-nucleotide small nuclear RNA is filed under the name Pelusios castaneus (West African mud turtle). RNAcentral's name for it is "U2 spliceosomal RNA (ENSPCEG00000000517.1)". It matches the Rfam family "U2 spliceosomal RNA". From Rfam's summary of the family: U2 is a small nuclear RNA (snRNA) component of the spliceosome (involved in pre-mRNA splicing). Complementary binding between U2 snRNA (in an area lying towards the 5' end but 3' to hairpin I) and the branchpoint sequence (BPS) of the intron results the bulging out of an unpaired adenosine, on the BPS, which initiates a nucleophilic attack at the intronic 5' splice site, thus starting the first of two transesterification reactions that mediate splicing. The record is from RNAcentral. Lineage: Eukaryota; Metazoa; Chordata; Testudines; Pelomedusidae.